GCCUUUUGCUGGGAGAGGUGGGGCCACGGCCCAGGGCUUCCCUGCACUUGUUGGUGCUUGGUGGCCUGGCAGUGUCCAGAGCCCACGCUAACAACUAGCUUGGUUUUCCAGCCACUCCCUGUGUCCCUCCACGUCCGUACUUCAGACUGUGCCUAUUUCAUCCUGGUGGACAGGUACCUGUCAUGGUUCCUGCCCACCGAAGGCAGUGUGCCCCCACCACUCUCCUCCAGCCCAGGGGGGACCAGCCCCUCACCACCUCCUAGGACACCAACCAUGCCCUUUGCUUCCUAUGGCCUCCACCACACUAGCCUCCUGAAGCGACACAUCUCUCAUCAGAGGUCUGUGAAUGCAGACCCCGCCUCCCACGAGAUCUGGAGGUCAGAAACUGCUCCAGGUUUUUGUUGAAAUGUGGCUUCAUCACUAUUCCUUGGAGAUGUAUCAAAAAAUGCAGUCCCCUCACACCAAGGUAUGUUUCCACAGUUUUUCUUCCCACCUCCUGCUUCUGACCCUGCUCAGCCUGCUGCUUCUUAUCCUGCCUCGGAGCGAGUUUUCACAGGCUGGAUGGUGGGAAGCAGAAACCCACCACCCACCUGUCACUCAGAAGCCGAGUAAGAAGUGGGCAUCAUUCUCUAGUUUCCGGUGGCGGGCAGGGGGCGUUGCACACUGACGUGUAGACACUUGAGGCCUGGAAGUCUGGCCUCUCUGGGGCCCUCCCUGUGCAGCUUCCUGAGCCCCCUCCCUGGCAGCAGGAACAGAUGAGGUUGUGGUGCUCUUGCUCGGGGGGUGGGGGAGCUGCGAUGCCUCUGGGAGCCACUUUGUCUGUCUCCUCGACCAUCAGCGGUGCCUUUGUGCUUUCCCAUGAAGGGGUGGCCUGGAGCCUUCUUUGCCUGCUCCCCCUACUCCCCCACCUCCUCCAGAGCAUGAGCAAGCAGCCCUUCUCGUGGCGAGUGGCACCUGGUGCCUCCUGCAUGCAGCCUGGCUUGCCUCCUCUCCCUCCUCCUCGCCUCUCCCCACUCUCUCUCUGGGCAGCAUGCUGCCUUCAGAUGCAUGGAGGUGGCGGAGGCCCUGGGUCGUUCCUGCUGUUGCCGUUCCUGGAGCUAGCACCACCCCUGGACCGGUCAGAGUGAGAAAGCAGCUAGGUGAACCUUAGAUCUCCAGUCAGUCAUCUCCAUGGAGCAGCUUGACUCAUGCCCAUCCGUGCCCUUGCCUGAAGUGGCAUCA
RNAcentral lists this long non-coding RNA (1221 nucleotides) under Pan troglodytes (chimpanzee). RNAcentral's name for it is "long non-coding RNA NONPTRT011236". Lineage: Eukaryota; Metazoa; Chordata; Mammalia; Primates; Hominidae. The record is from RNAcentral.